This 250-nucleotide long non-coding RNA is filed under the name Malus domestica (apple). Its description in RNAcentral is "long non-coding RNA (MDOM_LNC018273)". Lineage: Eukaryota; Viridiplantae; Streptophyta; Magnoliopsida; Rosales; Rosaceae. The record is from RNAcentral.
UGGAAACCAUAAAUUUCCCGAGGAAACUUUUACUGGGAGCAGUCGUUGUACUAGCAUUACUCUGCUUGCUUACUGUCAUGAACUUAAAGGUGAAUUAUUGUCGCCCCAAGAUAUGCUCAAGAAAGUACAAGUCAAUUUUUACUUACUGGCCGGAGCAGUCAAAAUAUGGAUAUACAGAGACUACGUAAGCAUAUUUAAAAAUAAAAAUAAACUACAAACAGAGCAUGUGACACAGACAUACUACAGAGGC